GAUGAACGCUGGCGGCGUGCCUAAUACAUGCAAGUCGAGCGAACAGACGAGGAGCUUGCUCCUCUGACGUUAGCGGCGGACGGGUGAGUAACACGUGGAUAACCUACCUAUAAGACUGGGAUAACUUCGGGAAACCGGAGCUAAUACCGGAUAAUAUAUUGAACCGCAUGGUUCAAUAGUGAAAGACGGUUUUGCUGUCACUUAUAGAUGGAUCCGCGCCGCAUUAGCUAGUUGGUAAGGUAACGGCUUACCAAGGCAACGAUGCGUAGCCGACCUGAGAGGGUGAUCGGCCACACGGGAACUGAGACACGGUCCAGACUCCUACGGGAGGCAGCAGUAGGGAAUCUUCCGCAAUGGGCGAAAGCCUGACGGAGCAACGCCGCGUGAGUGAUGAAGGUCUUCGGAUCGUAAAACUCUGUUAUUAGGGAAGAACAAAUGUGUAAGUAACUAUGCACGUCUGGACGGUACCUAAUCAGAAAGCCACGGCGAACUACGU
Molecule: ribosomal RNA, 496 nt
Filed under: uncultured bacterium
Lineage: Bacteria
Description: partial 16S ribosomal RNA
Rfam family: Bacterial small subunit ribosomal RNA
Source: RNAcentral